GUGUCGGUGGUGCAACGGUUAGCACAUGCUCCCGGAAACAGUAAAAUCUGGGUUCGAAUCUUGGCUGACGCA
Molecule: non-coding RNA, 72 nt
Organism: Parelaphostrongylus tenuis
Lineage: Eukaryota; Metazoa; Nematoda; Chromadorea; Rhabditida; Metastrongylidae
Source: the annotation of a GenBank genome assembly